RNAcentral lists this unclassified non-coding RNA (253 nucleotides) under uncultured Solibacteraceae bacterium. Its description in RNAcentral is "contains 16S-23S intergenic spacer region". It matches the Rfam family "Bacterial small subunit ribosomal RNA", at positions 524 to 776 of the family's 1533-position model. The record is from RNAcentral. Lineage: Bacteria; Pseudomonadati; Acidobacteriota; Terriglobia; Bryobacterales; Solibacteraceae.
UACGUAGGCAGCAAGCGUUGUUCGGAGUUACUGGGCGUAAAGAGUGUGUAGGCGGUUUUCUAAGUUCGGUGUGAAAUCUCCCGGCUCAACCGGGAGGGUGCGCCGAAGACUGGGAGGCUUGAGUGCGGGAGAGGAAAGCGGAAUUCCUGGUGUAGCGGUGAAAUGCGUAGAUAUCAGGAGGAACACCUGCGGUGUAGACGGCUUUCUGGACCGUAACUGACGCUGAGACACGAAAGCGUGGGUAGCAAACAGG